RNAcentral lists this ribosomal RNA (253 nucleotides) under uncultured bacterium. RNAcentral describes it as "partial 16S ribosomal RNA". It matches the Rfam family "Bacterial small subunit ribosomal RNA", at positions 524 to 776 of the family's 1533-position model. The record is from RNAcentral.
UACGAAGGGGGCUAGCGUUGCUCGGAAUUACUGGGCGUAAAGGGCGCGUAGGCGGGUCGUUAAGUUAGAGGUGAAAGCCCAGGGCUCAACCCUGGAAUUGCCUUUGAUACUGGCGGCCUUGAGUAUGGCAGAGGUGUGUGGAACUCCGAGUGUAGAGGUGAAAUUCGUAGAUAUUCGGAAGAACACCAGUGGCGAAGGCGGCUCACUGGACCGGCAUUGACGCUGAGGUGCGAAAGCGUGGGGAGCAAACAGG